GGGGCUGUAGCUCAUCUGGGAGAGCGCUUGUCUGGCAGACAAGAGGUAACGGGUUCGAUCCCCGUCAGCUCCACCA
RNAcentral lists this transfer RNA (76 nucleotides) under Candidatus Fermentibacterota bacterium. RNAcentral describes it as "tRNA-Ala". It matches the Rfam family "tRNA". From Rfam's summary of the family: Transfer RNA (tRNA) molecules are approximately 80 nucleotides in length. Their secondary structure includes four short double-helical elements and three loops (D, anti-codon, and T loops). Further hydrogen bonds mediate the characteristic L-shaped molecular structure. tRNAs have two regions of fundamental functional importance: the anti-codon, which is responsible for specific mRNA codon recognition, and the 3' end, to which the tRNAs corresponding amino acid is attached (by aminoacyl-tRNA synthetases). tRNAs cope with the degeneracy of the genetic code in two manners: having more than one tRNA (with a specific anti-codon) for a particular amino acid; and 'wobble' base-pairing, i.e. permitting non-standard base-pairing at the 3rd anti-codon position. The record is from RNAcentral. Lineage: Bacteria; Pseudomonadati; Candidatus Fermentibacterota.